Molecule: ribosomal RNA, 247 nt
Filed under: uncultured bacterium
Lineage: Bacteria
Description: partial 16S ribosomal RNA
Rfam family: Bacterial small subunit ribosomal RNA
Source: RNAcentral
CGGUAGGUGGCAAGCGUUGUCCGGAAUUAUUGGGCGUAAAGCGCGCGCAGGCGGCUUCUUAAGUCCAUCUUAAAAAGUGCGGGGCUUAACCCCGUGAUGGGAUGGAAACUGAGAGGCUGGAGUAUCGGAGAGGAAAGUGGAAUUCCUAGUGUAGCGGUGAAAUGCGUAGAGAUUAGGAAGAACACCGGUGGCGAAGGCGACUUUCUGGACGACAACUGACGCUGAGGCGCGAAAGCGUGGGGAGCAA